UGGAUUUUGAUGGAACAAGUUCAGAUCUAAAUAAACAAUCAUGUUUUGUGUUUAUUUCAUUAGUAGAUCUGAUACUUUUAUGGUUUGUUUUUCAGUUUUCUUUUGUUAUUAUCAAUUGUUGAUAAACAUCACUGUCCAGAGUUCGUCCUAGAUUUUAUACUUCUCUUGCUGUUUUAAAAGUUUGUGGGAAUAUAGUUGAUGAAAAGAAUGUACACAGUUGGGUUUUGCUUAGAUUUGUUUAUAGACCUUCUUUGAUUCAUAUGUGUAGUAUUUGAAUUUUAUGUUUGUUAGUGAUGUUGUGAAGUGUUUGAUGAAUAAGUGUUCUUGAAAUGCAUUAGAAGCGUUGGGUAUCUUUAGAGAGAUGAGAAUUGAAGGAGUUAAAUUGGAAUUGCAUGACUGUAUCUUACUCAUUGCUGGUGCUCCACUUGGUGAAGAAUUGAAGGGGAUUUUGAUUCAUGUGUGAAGGUGGGAACCCGUUCUGCGUUACUCAACUUUGGAACAUGUAUGUUGCUCGGAUUUUGUUGCUUUUGUCAUACAUACCAAAAUAAAUAGAAUAAUAGCUUGGUGCAUCUUCUCGAUGUUGUUUACUGCUCUGGAACUGUUAUCCUCAACUGGAUAGAUAGACCUCACCCUGUGUAGUUUCUUAAAUGCCAAAUGGCCUAAUGUAGGCUCAUGGGCAUGCGGAUAAGUAAAAGAUUUGUACUCUACCUGGAAGCAGUGCAGCAAAUAUGUACUCGAAUUUGCUAGCAUU
Molecule: long non-coding RNA, 751 nt
Organism: Papaver somniferum (opium poppy)
Lineage: Eukaryota; Viridiplantae; Streptophyta; Magnoliopsida; Ranunculales; Papaveraceae
Exons: 3
Source: RefSeq, a predicted model, not a curated record